Lineus longissimus is the source of this 237-nucleotide long non-coding RNA. RefSeq lists it as uncharacterized. NCBI's taxonomy places the organism in Eukaryota, Metazoa, Nemertea, Pilidiophora, Heteronemertea, Lineidae. The transcript is spliced from 3 exons. The record is from RefSeq and is a predicted model, not a curated record.
GGCACCUACAAUAAGGGAGGCAAAUGCCGGGUGAUCUGUCCCACCGGGUUCAUCCCCAGUAACAGCUCGUGCUAUGGCCGCCCAAGUAGCAAGCUGACGAAGUGUCCUUCCAAUACCCUGAAGGUGGCCAAUCGAUGCGUACUUAAGAAACCACAGUUGCGCUGUGAUAGUGGCUUUGAGAGGGUGCACCGAACCUGCUUGCAGAAAUGCCCAAGCGCCUUCACAAGAUCGGGGAAG